Molecule: transfer RNA, 73 nt
Filed under: Pan troglodytes (chimpanzee)
Lineage: Eukaryota; Metazoa; Chordata; Mammalia; Primates; Hominidae
Description: tRNA-Val (TAC) (tRNA-Val-TAC-6-1)
Rfam family: tRNA
About the family: Transfer RNA (tRNA) molecules are approximately 80 nucleotides in length. Their secondary structure includes four short double-helical elements and three loops (D, anti-codon, and T loops).
Source: Rfam by way of RNAcentral
GUUUCCGUGGUGUAGUGGUUAUCACAUUCACCUUACACGCGAAAGGUCCUCGGGUCGAAACCGAGCGGAAACA